GCUCGCUUCAACUGUGCAUAUACUAAAAUUAGAAUGAUACAGAGAAAAUUAGCGUGGCCCCUGGGCAAGGAUGACACUUAAAAAAAUAUGGUUGU
RNAcentral lists this small nuclear RNA (95 nucleotides) under Microtus ochrogaster (prairie vole). Lineage: Eukaryota; Metazoa; Chordata; Mammalia; Rodentia; Cricetidae. The record is from RNAcentral.